RNAcentral lists this ribosomal RNA (454 nucleotides) under uncultured bacterium. RNAcentral's name for it is "bacterial SSU rRNA". It matches the Rfam family "Bacterial small subunit ribosomal RNA", at positions 340 to 786 of the family's 1533-position model. The record is from RNAcentral.
UACGGGAGGCAGCAGUGGGGAAUAUUGCACAAUGGGCGCAAGCCUGAUGCAGCCAUGCCGCGUGUAUGAAGAAGGCCUUCGGGUUGUAAAGUACUUUCAGUCGUGAGGAAGGUGUUAAGGUUAAUAACCUUAGCAAUUGACGUUAGCGACAGAAGAAGCACCGGCUAACUCCGUGCCAGCAGCCGCGGUAAUACGGAGGGUGCGAGCGUUAAUCGGAAUUACUGGGCGUAAAGGGCAUGCAGGCGGUUAAUUAAGUUGGAUGUGAAAUCCCCGGGCUUAACCUGGGAAUGGCAUUCAAGACUGGUUAGCUAGAGUCUUGUAGAGGGGGUAGAAUUCCGAUGUGUAGCGGUGAAAUGCGUAGAGAUGUGGAGGAAUACCGGUGGCGAAGGCGGCCCCUGGACAAAGGCUGACGCUCAUGUGCGAAAGCGUGGGGAGCAAACAGGGAUUAGAUACC